UCUGUAUUAAAAAAAAAAAGCAUUUAGCAAUAAUGUUGUGGUGUAAAGGUGGGUGGGAUCAUGUGAUGCUAAAGUUGAAGUCUCCACAUGGGGCACAAAAGCACUGUGAAUUUGAAGAGAGGAUAUGACGACUGCAGCUUUCGUUUAUUCGUUAUCUGCAAAAUGGUAGAAAGAAGGCAUUGUUAAUUGGUUAGGAGAUCACUUUGAUUGAGACGCAUCAUAUCUGCCUUACCAAACCAACUUGAUUACCAAGAAGACUAACUCAUCUGAAUCAAAAUAAAAUAAUUUAGUUCGAUUUAGUUCAUUUGAUGAAAUAAAACAAAAUUUUUUUAAUUUUGACUCAUUUUAUCCACAUUAAACUAUUAAACUUUAUCAUGUACUAAUUUCAGAGUUGAAUACAAAUUAUCAAUAUCAUUAAUGACUUGUCAGAAAAAAUAAUAAAUAGUCUCUUUUAUUAUUGAUUAUAAAAAAAAUACUUAUUCUAAAUAAAAUUAAUUAUUGUGAUUAAAUUAAUUACUUAUUAUUAUAAUAAUAUGUAUAAAUAAGUAUGAAAAGGUAGGAAUAUUCUAUUUAAAAUGUUGAGAAAAUUACAUUUUAAUUAUUUAUAUUUUUGCGCUUUUACAUUUUAGAAAUUAAAAUAAUUUUUAUUGUUUCAGAAUCUGAACUUUCAGACUGUUAGCAAUUUAAGAAUUCAGUGGCUAAUGACAUUAAAUAUGCUGAUAUGACAUGCUGAUAUUAUCGUCAUGUCAUCAAUCUUUUCCUUUAUAAUUUAAGUAUAAAAGUUUAAAAGUAUAAGUUUUUAAAUAACAAAUAAAAUAAAAUUUUAAUCAUUAAUAAUAAAAGUGUAUAACUUUCAAAAUAUAAAAAAAGAAAAAGAAAAUAGGAAAUAGAGUGAGUGAGGGAGAGAAGAGAGAGUAGUGAGAUAGAGGGGGAAUGGGACAAAAACAAAAAAUUCUCUCUAUCUCUCACUCUCUCUCUAUUUUCUCUUAUGCCUCUCUAUCUUACUUUAUUUCUCUUCUAAUUUUUUUUCUCACUACUUGAUAGUAUGUCUAUUCAACUCUCUUCUCCUAAAAUUUAUCCAUAGGAGUAAAAGAGAAAUUUUGACAGAAAAGCAAAGUGAGAUAGAGAGGUACAAGAGAAGAGAGAAAUAUUUUCUCUUACAAUUGUCUCUUUCUUCCUCUCUAUCUCACUAUCUCUCUCUUCUCUCCCUCUCUUCUCUCACUCUUUUCCUUAUUUUUUUAUUCAUUUUGAAAGUUAUAUGCUUUUACUGUUAAGGGUUGAAACUUUAUUUUAUUUAUAAUUUAAGGAUUUGUAUUUUUAAAUUUUUGCACUCAGAUAAUGUUAACAUAAAAUGAUGGACCCAUUGAAAUUGCGACGCAUGUACAAAAAAAGAAAGGGACCAUACCAGCCCGUCCGAUCCGACCAUCUUACGGGAGGACCACCCGUCAUAGAAUGCAAGUCCGACCUCAUACAUCUCCAACCUCACCCAUGCAAGGAGUGCGCAAGCCGACCUCAUUAAAGCAUACAGAUUCCCAAUAGGGUCAUCAUUGCACGUGGUGGUAAAACUGACAGAUAAGACGCAAGUGAUGGACAUAGCAUAGCGAAAACGACUCAUCAUUUAUUAGCUGAUUACCCACCAUAAAUGAGCUGCUUGACUUUUUUGUCACAACACUCCACCAUCAUGUCCGAUAGGACGAUCCAUUAGAAUGCACCAGAGCAAUCAGGGUAUUAAUAAUCCUGAACCAAUUAUACAAAGAGACGGAUUUUUUAGUAAAGCUCAGAUCUUAGUAGCUUUGGACACUCGAAGAAAAAAAGAAUUCUCAACAUCCUUAACCCCAAAAAAUCAUUCUGAUCCCCUAUCCACUCUUAACCACCCAGUCAGAUCCAUUAACUUCUCCAUGAAUCAAACUCUCACUUAUGUGUCAUCAUCUCCUUGACCAACCGGAUCUCAGCCUUAUCAAUUGGCACUGUCUGUGGAAAAUGAAGAAGGAUUAUCUAAUCAAUCGGAGUUUUUCAAACAUAAACCCAUUGAGAUCCACCAUGGCAAAUCAAGAAAACAACCCAUCAAAAUCCAUUAGAGACGAAAAUCCAACCCUCGAAACCCUAAAUCCUUAAAGCUUUCCUAUGACGAUGUUUCCAUUUCCUCCCAUCCAAACAUUACCAAACACACCUUCCACCAGCAACCCCCUUAUGCAAACACAUAUAUCUAACCAGGAUCUGCAAGCGAUAUUCGUGUAACUGCAACAAAUGAUGAUGUGGAUGAAUCAAAUAAUGCAGCAAAGGGGUCUCACCUCGCCUAUGCCCACAAAUUUAACACCCAUCACAGCCCCCAAUCAAACACCUACGCCAACUUUUAUUCCAGAAACCGAAAAUUAUGACCGAACUACCAUGAUACACUUGACCCAGAAGAGAAGAGAAGGCAAGUCUGCCAGGGAACCUCCAGUCAAGUCUAGAAGUCGUACGGUAAGAAAUCAAAUAGAGAAAGAUACAGAUAGGCUGGAGAGGUACGAAGUAGAAAGCAAGGACAAGGGCACCAGUUCGAAAGCUCCCGUGUUUAGUGAAAAACCAGCAUAAAAGAUGAGGGAGUAGCGGAGAUGCUAGAAAAGCAUAAGAAUUAUUGGCGGAGUUAAAGAACCAAGUAGGAGCCCCCACAGGCCUAAGAACGACCUCUCCAUUUGUAGCACGUAUCCGGGAAGAGACUAUUUCUAAGAAGUUUCAAAUGCCAACCAUGGGUUCAUAUAACAGCAUGGGCAACCCCAAGGACCAUGUAAUCAACUAUAAAAUUUUUAUGGAGUUACAGACUCACUCUGAUGCCUUGCUUUGCAAAUUAUUCCCCACUAUCAUCACCGGUGCGGCUUUAACUUGGUUCAAUAACCUAGAGGCAGAAAGUAUCAAGACUUUUUCUGACAUGGCUAACUUGUUUAUGGAGAAAUUCAUAGCCAGCGUCCCAUCCCAAAGGAAAAUAAGUUAUUUGGAGACGGUGAGACAAAAGAAGGACGAGACCCUACAGGAAUAUGUUGUCCGUUUCAACACAGAAGCCCUCCAGAUCCCUAACCUGGAUGAACCUCGAGCAGUGGAAGCCAUGCAGAAGGAGACUACCUCGAUGGAGUUCUUUGGGUUCCUAAGCAGAAAACCACCAUCCACAUUAGCCAAGCUCAUGCAGAGAGCAAAAAAGCACAUCAGGUAGGAUGAUGCCCUCAUGACCAGUUGGUUUGCUAGAGAAUCCCAAGAAAGGGAUUAGAUGAAAAGCCGGCUGAAAGAUCGAAGGAAAGAGCAGGUAGAUCGAAGGAAAGAGCAGGUAUAUCGAAGGCUUGAUCGAAGUACCGGGGCCUUAAAUAGAUAUCGAGACAGUAGAGAAGCUGAUCGUCGAUCUAGGCCCCCUCUCCAUCGAGACAUUACCCCCUUUGAAUGUCUCCAUGGCAGAAGUAUUGGUCGCUGUGCAAGAUAAGAACCUGAUCACAUGUCAACAACCUUUGCAGUCGGACCCCAAAACCAAAGACCCCAACCAGUGUUACUAGUUCCACAAAACUAAUGGUCACGAUACGAAUAACUACUACCAGUUAAAGAAUAAAAUAUAAAAGCUAAUUAAAAGAGGCCAUUUGAAGAAUUUUGUGAAAAAAGGGGCAUCACCCAAAAACAGGCUAGAGGAGAGAAGGGAGCCCAUCAGGGAAAGGGCAAUAAGACUCGUUAAUGAUGGAUCCAGUGGGACCACAAAUCUAAUAGUGAGGGAAGAGACAGGACAACCCCUCUAAUCUAACAGAAAAAGAAGACGAGGUGGCAAGCUAAAAGAAGUGGAAGUCCUAUAAGUCAUUGAGCAUAUUCCAGGGGUAGUGAGUUUUUCAGCAGUCGACGGAGAAGUGGUCGAGAUUCCACAUGAUGAUACUCUAGUAGUAGAAGCCAUUAUCCACAAUUUUAGGGUCUAAAAGAUUUUGGUGAACGACAGAAGCAAGGGAAAUCUCCUUCCGCAUCAAGUUUUUAAAACCAUGAAGAUAGUAGACGAAAACAUGGUCAAAGACUAGACACUAGUGAAAGGCAUAAGCGGAGUGCUCGUACCCGUAGAAGGAAAAAUUAAGCUACUAAUGACUCUGGGAACACCACUGACCACUCAGACCCAGUAUGUCUAGUUUCUCAUAGUCAAAUUGCCGCUGGCAUACAAUGUCAUCCUGGGCCGACCGGUUUUGUAUGAUUUUGAGGUAUCCACAAGCAUCAAGUACUUGUGCAUGAAGUUCCCCACUAUAGCUGGGGUGGCUACUGUAAGGGAAAGGCAAGAGGAAUCUCGAUUGGUGUACCUGGCAACUAUGACAAAAGAAGAAAAUGAGGAUGUGCACAUGGAGGUUAUGGUGGUCAGGAUAAAGAAAAAGAGCAAAGAACCCAACCCACUGGAAAGGUUGAAAGUUUUGCCUUAAAUGAAGAGGAACCAAAAAAAAUUUUCAACAUGAAUGCGAACUUGACACGAGAGCAGAAAAUGACCAUGAAAGCCCUAGUCUGAGGUCAUGCUAACAUCUUUGCUUGGAAACCGGUCGACAUGUCAGGUAUCGACCCCCAGGUCAUGUCCCACCAACUGAAUGUGCAAUCAGAUGCAAGACCCGUGAGAUAGAAAAAGAGAAUAUAUGGAGCAGAAAAAAGAAAAGUUAUGAGGACGGAGGUAAAGAAGUUAGUAGAGGCUAAUUUUGUAAGGGAAGUGGCUUAUCUUGAAUGGUUAGCUAACCUCAUCCUUGUAAAAAAAUUCAAUGGGAAAUACUGCAUGUGUAUAGAUUUUACUGACAUGAAUAAGGCUUGUCUAAAGUAUUAUUAUCCUUUGCCUGACAUUAAUAAAUUGGUCGAUGCUAUGGCUGGAUUUGAGUAUUUGUCUUCUCUAGAUGCAAUGUCAGGAUAUCACCAAAUUCUCAUGCAUAAAACAGACAAGGAGAAGACUUCCUUUAUUACCGAGGAUGGGACCUACUGCUACCGGGAAAUGCCUUUUGGGCUGAAAAAUACGGGAGCAACCUAUUAGAGGUUGAUGAAUAGAAUUUUCAAAGACCAGAUAGGCUAGAUUGUAGAAGUGUAUGUAGACAAUGUCAUAAUCAAAAGUCGCUCCUUCAAAGAACACGUGGAAAACCUGAAAAUUUUUUUUGCGGUCCUUAAUCAAUAUUAGAUGAAACUCAAUCCGGCCAAGUGUGCAUUUUUUUAUUAAAGGCAGUAAGUUCCUGGGUUACAUGGUCAGUGCACGAGAAAUAGAACUGAACUUGGAGAAGGUCAAAGCCAUUCUUGAAAUGCUCGAACUAAGCUACAUCAGGGAUGUUCAGAAAUUAACAGGAAGGGUCAUAGCUCUAAAUCGAUUUAUGUCAAAGUCAGUAGAAAAAUGCCUACCGUUCUUCAAAAAAUUGAGAAAAUGCCCCUAUUUUGAAUGGACAGAGGAGUGUCGAUGAGCGUUUACAGAAUUAAAAAGCUACCUUAGCUCCCCAAAAGUGGCCAAGAAGACUUUUAUAUCUACCUAGCUACUUCUGACCAAGCGGUCAGUGCGAUCCAGGUACGAGAAGAACAUGGGGUCCAAAAAUCAAUCUUCUAUCUGAGUAAAAUUUUGAAGAAAGCAGAAAUCUGAUACCUCAAUAUUGAUGUCUGGUCGAAUGUUAGCCUGGUCGGUGGAAAUGAGACCCUACUGUUUGAAAUACAAACCACGAACGAUAAUAAAAAGCGCAGGCAUUAGUUGAUUUUAUAGCCGCUCAUUCAAUGGGGGAAGCUCGAAAAUGAAGGAAGGAGGGGAACAGAACAAAGAAGUCAGUGAAAACAACCACACUUACCUCUGGACCCUAUAUGUAGACAGGGCAGCUAGGCCCAAUCAAAGUGGAGCAAGAGCAAUACUAAGGGGCCAGACGGACUAGUUAUUUCGAAUUCCCUGCGUUUUAAUUUUCCCAUCACCAACAAUAUGGCUGACUAUGAGGCCUUGAUUAAUGGAAUGCAACUCGCCUUGGAAAUCAGAGUGAAUGACCUAAAUGUACUCAUCGAUUCGUAGUUGGUGGUUAACCGUGUCUGAGGAAUAUAUGAAGCCCGUGAUGAAACAAUGAAGCGAUACUUAACCCUGGUGCAAAAGUUGCAAACCGAGUUCAAAGCAAAAAACAUCCCACUUCAAGUAGAUCUUAUCCCGCAUGAACAGAAUGAAGAGGCUGACCUGCUAAGCCGAUUAACUUUGAAGGAAAUAGAGCAGUUGCUCCAGGAGGUACUCAUGAAGACCAUCUCGCAGCCCAAUUUUGAGAAACUAGUGCUAGUCAUGAAUGUUCACUCCGAGUCGAGCUGGAUGGAUCCGUUUAUCAAAUAUCUUGACCAAGGAAAACUACCCGCAGACAAAAAUGAGGCAAAGAAAAUCUCAGCCAAAGCAUAAAAUUACCUAUAAGAAAACGAUGUGCUAUUCAAAAGAGAGAAGUCUACACUAUGGCCCAAGUGUGUAGGGCAGAAGGAGGCCCAAGUCAUCAUCGAAGAAAUCCAUUAAGGCAUGUGUGGCACCCAUGAGGGGCAUCCACUCUAGUCAACAAAAUUUUCAGAUAGGGAUACUACUAGCCAACCCUAAAAGCAAAUGUGAAAAAAAUCAUAAAAAAGUGUGAUGUUUACCAGCGGUAUGGUAGGGGCAUCAACACCCCCCACAACAAAGCAAAUCGGAAUUGCAGCGCCAUGGCCUUUCUCUCAGUGGAAAAUUGACAUCCUCAGCCCUUUCCCUCAAACUACCAAUAAGCGAAAAUACGUGAUAGUCGUCGUAGAGUAUUUCUCGAAAUGGCCAAAAGCCAAAGCCGUCAGAAGCAUCACAUCCCAACAGAUGAUUGACUUUAUUUGGCGUAACAUCGUGUGUCGAUUCGGCAUACCCCGCACCCUCAUAUCAGAUAAGACGCGAGUGAUGGACAGGGUAUAGCGAAAUGGCUCAGCAUUUAUUAGCUGAUUACCCAUUAUAAAUGAGUCACUUGACAUUUCUGCCACAAUACUCUACCGUCAUGUCCGAUAGGACGAUAUGUUAGAACGCACCAAAGUGAUCAGGGUAUUAAUAACCCUGAACCAAUUACACAAAGGAACUUAUUUUUUAGUAAAGCUCAAAUCAUAGUAGCUUUGGACCCUCGAAGAAAAAAAGAAUUCUCAACAUCCUUAAACCUCGAAAAAUCAGUCUGAUCCCCUAUCCACUCUUAACCACCCAGUCAGAUUCAUUAACUUCCCCGUGAAUCAAAUCCUCACUUACGUGUCAUCAUCUCCUUGACCAACCGGAUCUCAGACUUAUCAGAUCAUAAAAGGAAGGUUGAUGACGUGACGAUAACGUCAAUAUGCCACGUCAGAUAUGACAUUGAUGUCAAUAUGGCACAUCAGAAUAUCUAACACCGUUAGCCAUUGAAUUCUCAAAUUAUUAAUGGUCUGAAAGUUUAGAUCCUAAAAUGUAACGAAAAUUACUUUAGUCCCUAAAAUUUAAAAGCGCAAAAAUACAAGUAAUUAAAGUAUACUUUUUCCUAAAAUGUUUAAUAGUAUUGCAUGUUUGUAUAAUUAAAGUAUACUUUUUCCUAAAAUGUUUAAUAGUACUGCAUGUUUGUAUAAUGAUGUGGGUUAUCUCAAGUUCUAAUGAGAGGUUUGUGGAAAAAUCAAGUGCUUAUCUUCGGUAUAAAAUGCAUGCAUUGUACGGCAGAAAGCUAAAAUUUGAGCUAUGUGUAUUGGCUAAAGAAAGAGAACUUUCAUCUGUGAAGCAUUGGGCUAAAAAAGAAAAAAGCAGGCAAAAUCCAGGAGUAAAUUGGAAAAGGGGAGAUGAAAUUAAUAAUUAUUUUCUUUUGUUGAUAGGAAACGUACAAUGGUAAAAGAAAAAACAUGGCUCAGUUUUUGUCCUUGCUAAUAUUAUAUUGCUGGUUGACGAGAGAUGGGCGUGUCAUUUCCCCACACCAAGUUGGGGAACAUAACGUCAUAACCUGGAAAAAUUAUAAUAUACAUAAUUUGAUAUAUAAAUAAAAAUUAUUAUUUAAAAAAAUGUUUGAUAUAUAUUUUUUCUUUUCAGUAUUCACUUUUCUUAAUUUUAGAGUAUAUUUUAAUACAAUUAUUCAAAUUUUAUUGGGUGUCACUCUAAAUUAACUGAAUUUCAUGAUCUUUUAGAUGUUCUCAAGAAUAAGUAAAAUAAAAUUUUCAGUGAAAUGGAAGAAUAAGAUGAUGGGUAUAUUUAUUUAAUAUAUACAAGCGGUCAAUAAAUAAGUAUUAUUUUAAUUAAAUUUAUAUUUUUUUCGUUUUAUAAUUUUUACUUAUUUUUUAUUUUUUAUUAUUUUAAAAUUAUUAUAAUUAUAAAAAAUAAUUAAUAUAUCUUAUCAAAUGGGUGUAUAAAUUCCUAGUAUACCUAAGAAAUUUUCAAUCUCACAUUCUAGGUGGCAUAGUAUUAAAAUAUGCACCGACUUGUUUGGCAUGCAAAUAAAGGAAAGCAAGCAAAACAGUCGGAAUACAAAACCCAAAAAUUAAUGACAUAAACCAACAAAACUGAGCCAAUUCCAUCAACCCUACAGCCAAAAUGUCAUCAUUGAUCCUUUGAAAUGGCAGAUUAAUGUCAUUUUAAACUCUUUUUUCAGGUUGGUAAGAUUGGCACAAAAGCUGAAAACUAUAAUAAUUAGAUUUUGUUUGUUUCAAAUUCUAUAUUUUCCGGAAAAUAAACACUGUAUUUUAAAUUUCUGAAACUUUUAAACAAAAUAACAUACAAACAAAUUGAAUCAAUUUCAUGUAAAGUUGAAGUUCAUGAGUUAACUUACCCAACCAAAUAAAGUCUAGAAACUAAUUCUCUACAAGUGGGGCUCCACCUAGAUGUGUGCUGCUGUUAUGUGGUCGGCAUCGGAGCCAACGGUCAGAAAGGGAGAAAAUCCAAUGAAUAGAGAGGUAGGUUGGAGGAAAAGGAAACUUGUGUUUGGAUCUCACCAUCAGCUUUCUCUAUUUUCUUCUUUGAGAAUAAAACAGUCCCAGACAAAUUGAUAUCUGGACAGGUUUUGCUUAACUUGCAGGCUACCGCAGGGCUAGAAAUUGCAAAAGAAUAUGUUUUUAUCUUUUUUUUUUU
This 9025-nucleotide long non-coding RNA is filed under the name Manihot esculenta (cassava). RNAcentral's name for it is "long non-coding RNA (MESC_LNC003067)". The record is from RNAcentral. Lineage: Eukaryota; Viridiplantae; Streptophyta; Magnoliopsida; Malpighiales; Euphorbiaceae.